AGUCGAGCGGAGAUGAGGUGCUUGCACCUUAUCUUAGCGGCGGACGGGUGAGUAAUGCUUAGGAAUCUGCCUAUUAGUGGGGGACAACAUUCCGAAAGGAAUGCUAAUACCGCAUACGUCCUACGGGAGAAAGCAGGGGAUCUUCGGACCUUGCGCUAAUAGAUGAGCCUAAGUCGGAUUAGCUAGUUGGUGGGGUAAAGGCCUACCAAGGCGACGAUCUGUAGCGGGUCUGAGAGGAUGAUCCGCCACACUGGGACUGAGACACGGCCCAGACUCCUACGGGAGGCAGCAGUGGGGAAUAUUGGACAAUGGGGGGAACCCUGAUCCAGCCAUGCCGCGUGUGUGAAGAAGGCCUUAUGGUUGUAAAGCACUUUAAGCGAGGAGGAGGCUACUGAGACUAAUACUCUUGGAUAGUGGACGUUACUCGCAGAAUAAGCACCGGCUAACUCUGUGCCAGCAGCCGCGGUAAUACAGAGGGUGCGAGCGUUAAUCGGAUUUACUGGGCGUAAAGCGUGCGUAGGCGGCUUUUUAAGUCGGAUGUGAAAUCCCCGAGCUUAACUUGGGAAUUGCAUUCGAUACUGGGAAGCUAGAGUAUGGGAGAGGAUGGUAGAAUUCCGGGUGUAGCGGUGAAAUGCGUAGAGAUCUGGAGGAAUACCGAUGGCGAAAGCAGCCAUCUGGCCUAAUACUGACGCUGA
Molecule: ribosomal RNA, 695 nt
Filed under: uncultured bacterium
Lineage: Bacteria
Description: bacterial SSU rRNA
Rfam family: Bacterial small subunit ribosomal RNA
Source: RNAcentral